Molecule: ribosomal RNA, 292 nt
Filed under: uncultured bacterium
Lineage: Bacteria
Description: partial 16S ribosomal RNA
Rfam family: Bacterial small subunit ribosomal RNA
Source: RNAcentral
GGAUUAGAUACCCUGGUAGUCCACGCUGUAAACGAUGAGAACUAGACGUUGGGCGGGUAACUGCUCGGUGUCGCAGCUAACGCACUAAGUUCUCCGCCUGGGGAGUACGGCCGCAAGGUUGAAACUCAAAGGAAUUGACGGGGGCCCGCACAAGCGGUGGAGCAUGUGGUUUAAUUCGAUGCAACGCGAAGUACCUUACCUGCCCUUGACAUCCUGGGAAUCCUACCGAAAGGUGGGAGUGCCUUCGGGAACCCAGAGACAGGUGCUGCAUGGCUGUCGUCAGCUCGUGCUG